AUGGCCAAAUGCACCAAGAAAGUCAGAAUCAUCAGUAAAUAUGGGACCCGCUAUGGGGCCUCCCUCCGGAAAAUGGUGAAGAAGAAUUGAAAUCACCCAGCACACCAAGUACAUUUGCUCUUUCUGUGGCAAAACCAAGAUGAAGAGAUGAGCUACGGGGAUCUGGCACUGUGGUUUCUGCAUGAAGACAGUGGCUGGCAGUGCCUGGACCUACAAUACCACUUCUGCUGUCACGGUAAAGUCGCCAUCAGAAGACUGAAGGAAUUCAAAGACCGGUAG
RNAcentral lists this long non-coding RNA (279 nucleotides) under Homo sapiens (human). Its description in RNAcentral is "non-protein coding lnc-BBOX1-4:1". The record is from RNAcentral. Lineage: Eukaryota; Metazoa; Chordata; Mammalia; Primates; Hominidae.